RNAcentral lists this ribosomal RNA (253 nucleotides) under uncultured archaeon. Its description in RNAcentral is "partial 16S ribosomal RNA". It matches the Rfam family "Archaeal small subunit ribosomal RNA", at positions 474 to 726 of the family's 1478-position model. The record is from RNAcentral.
UACUAGCUGUUCAAGUCGCAGCCACAAUUAUUGGGUCUAAAACAUCCGUAGCUUGUUUAGUAAGUCCUCUGUGAAAUUCUACCUCUUAAGGGUAGAGCGUGCAGAGGGUACUGCUGAGCUAGAGACUGGAAGGCGUAGAAAGUACGUUCGAAGUAGCGGUAAAAUGUUUUAAUCUCGGACGGACUCACAAUAGCGAAGGCAUUCUACGAAGACAGUUCUGACAGUAAGGGAUGAAGGCUAGGGGCGCGAAAGG